GGGAAUCUUCCACAAUGGGCGAAAGCCUGAUGGAGCAACGCCGCGUGUGUGAUGAAGGCUUUCGGGUCGUAAAGCACUGUUGUAUGGGAAGAACAGCUAUAAUAGGAAAUGAUUUUAGUUUGACGGUACCCUACCAGAAAGGGACGGCUAAAUACGUGCCAGCAGCCGCGGUAAUAA
RNAcentral lists this ribosomal RNA (177 nucleotides) under uncultured bacterium. Its description in RNAcentral is "partial 16S ribosomal RNA". It matches the Rfam family "Bacterial small subunit ribosomal RNA", at positions 357 to 526 of the family's 1533-position model. The record is from RNAcentral.